Molecule: long non-coding RNA, 6522 nt
Organism: Apis mellifera (honey bee)
Lineage: Eukaryota; Metazoa; Arthropoda; Insecta; Hymenoptera; Apidae
Exons: 2
Source: RefSeq, a predicted model, not a curated record
CGUCCGUCCGUUAGUUCGUCCCGUGCGCAAGAGAGGGCGUGUAUCGUUGGCAUCGUGAAACAGAGAGAGAGAGAGAAAAAAAAAAGACCAACGAAAUUAACAAGCAAUCAUCAUCAAGGGACAUCGAGUCCCUACUUAUAUAUAAAAGAGACAUUCAAACUCGGAUAUAAAACGAUCGACUGCUGUGUGCGUCCGCAGAGGCGAGUGUCGUUAGCCGACGAGUUAAAAGGGGCUCGGUGGGUAUGUAAUAAUCAGAGGCGGACGAACGUUGACAGGCGGCAAUCGAGGAUUACGUCGUACGAUACGAGCCGCUAUUAACGUCACGUUUUUUUGCACGGAUAGUGCGCCGCCUAUUCGGCACGAACAGGAACUCGCGUGGAAAACGUUGGAGGGAAUUUCCAAGGCGAAGUAGGGAAGAGGAGCGCCUCGAUCCGUCACGAUCAAACGGUACCUGUGAUUUAAUUGUCGCUCGGUCGAGAGAGGUCGCUCUACUCGACCCAGUUAUCAUUUUUACCAGAUCCUAUCUUAUCUCUUCUUUUACAAUCAACAUUUACGAGCAAGAUUUUCGAUUCCUCGUAUUUGAUAUUUAUUCCAGUAGUAAUUAUAUUUCGAUUCUUUUUUGUACGAAAGGAAGAAACAGAUUAAUCUUCUUUACCGAUCGAACUGAGAAUCGAUUUUUAUUUUUUGGACUUUAUUCUUAAAGGGAGAUUUAAGACUCGAGCUCGGCCGAAGGAGAGAACUGGAUUCGAAGGAGGCGGUGUAUCUCGACGUCUAUCUGAAUAAUAACGUGUACGACAACAUGUCAAAUUAUUCAGAAGUUGCGAGGCACACAGGCGUGUACGCGAGUGUUUGCACGGGGGCGGCGUGCGUGCGUGCGUGCGUGCGUGCGUGCGUGUGCCACGUCGAGGAAACCACGUCGGGGUAGCGGGCAGACACGUGUUCGCGGUGGCGGUGGCUCUCGACAGCAGUUUUAUAAUUGCCGAUAAAAAAUAAUCUCGAUGUGAGAGCGAGAUCGAUGAUUUUUCGUUAGGGAUAAUAAGGAAAGAAUUUUUUCAAGAAUCGAGAAGAGAGAGAAAAAAAAAACAAUUGCAAAAACACGAGCGAAAACGAGACGAUUAAUUCGAAACAAGUCGAUAUCUAUCCAACCGCAUCGAAAAUGGGACAAAGAUCCCGUUCACCGAGUUAUAUACGAGGUAUAUACGAUCGAUGGAAAAGUCGUGAUAACGACCUUUCUCUAUCGAGAUUGACAUUUAGAUUACCACGACUCGUGGAUUGUCAUGCGAACACUGGACCCCUCUAAUAGGCUCUAUUAGCAUGAAACGGUGUGUAAUCGUCGUAUGCGCACACAUGCCGGAGAACGACGAAUGGCAUGCCUCUCCCCAAGCCUGCCACCUUUUCGCAUCUCUCGAACAAUCGACGCACAAUUAUUCGAAGAUAAAUUUCGUAGCAUCGACAUCCUUCGAUAUAUAUAACUAUAUUUCAUUUUCCAAUUUUUUCUUACUUACUUACUUUUUCCUUAAAUUGAUCACCAAGCAUGAUGAUUAAUUUCGAAACAAUCGGAAUCUCCACGCGAAGAUUGAUCGAUCAGUUGAGUCAAGUUGGCAGCCCUCCGUCCACUCGGUAUGCGCGCGCAUCACGUGACUCGUCCUCCGAACUCUCCGAGCAUACCAGCUGGUAAUGCGCCUCCUCUAAGGAGACGCGCACCUGCGCCCGCCCUUCCGUCUAAUUAUUCGGCCGGCUUUUUUAACUCGCGGCGAUUUAUAUCGAGCAAUUAGCCCCGGCUGUAGCGCUAAUUGGAGUAUAGACGUGGAGUAUAAACGUGGCCUGGACCACGGGUCGGCCGAUAAACACCGACUGUCUCGUUAGUGCCUCGCGUGGGGUCCUCGGUGCCUACUUUCGACGAGGAAAGUUUUCGAGGAGGGGGGAGGGGGGCUUUCAAUCGGGAAAAAUACCGUGGCGCUACGUGUUUUACAAUACAGUGGAUCUCGAUCAAUUUUGAGAAACGUUAAAAUUCUAGAAUUUUUGAAAUUCUAUAAACUCGAAAACUUUGACAUUGAUGAAUCAAAAAUAUGGAAUUAGAGAAACUCAAGUUUGGAUUUUCAGAGGGAAGAGAUAGAUUCCGUAAAUCCUGUAAUUCGAUCUCGAGAUUGUGCGUUUCCAAACAUCGUGAAAAAAGAAAAAUAUUCAAAUUUCGCAAAGAGAAGAGAAAUGAGCGAGUCGGUGUCCAGGCGUGGAAUCGGUAACAGCGUUUAACGAGUAGGUCUACAGAGCGAGAAAACGGACUAAGAAACGUUUAAGGUUUCAAGGUGUUUAGGAGCAGUUUCGUACGCGGCGAGCAAAUUGCCCGUUUCGACCCAUCUUACCUUCCCCGAAAAGUGGCCUGUUCCUGGUUAAUGACGAGGCAUUUUCGCGCCUCCCUUCGCUACCUGCCAGACAUUGAUGGAUACCAUCCUCGAUUCCAGCCUAUUUUAAUUUACGUUUUCGCACGAGGAAUCCGGAUUUCCUUAUUUUAUUCAUCCCCCCUGUUUUGGGACAGAAUCGUUUUCAUUUUGCAUCCUGCAUCGAAAAAUUUUUAAAAAAAAUAUAAAGAUAGAUAAUAUUUAUUUAUAUAUGUGUAUAAAAUUGUACAGCAAGACUGCCAUCUUAAUAAAAAAAAAUGGCAGAUUGAAGCUCGAAAUAUCUUUCCCCCCCCAGGAAACUAAACUGUCUCGUCUAUUUCCACAGAUGAUGGAAUUUAUAAGACGUGACACAACGUGACUAUCCACAGCUGGAUCGGUAUCUUCUUCGUUGAGAAUUGCCUCGUGCACUCGUCCAUGCAUAUGCAUAAGCACGAUACACUGUGCCCGUUUAUCCUCUGGCCGAUUUUUAAUAAUGGUAUUUAAGUCUUAUCAAAGUGUAAAAAAUACAUUGUAAUCUCAUAUUUUAACAUAUAUUUUACAUAUCAGGUAAUAUUAAUCAGAUCGUAAUAAAUAAGAAUAAAAGGUGAAUAAAUUUUUAGAUGGACGUUAAGCGACCGAGAGAUUAAAAUUUAACGGCAAUAAUUAAGUCUAAUUAAAGUCAAAUACAAUUUGUAUCGUCGACGAUCGAGUUCAAGCCGAUCUUAUUAUAAUAAGAAAAUUCUCUUUCUUCGUUACGCGAUAUACAUUUUUCCAAAUUUAUAAUUUUACGAUUAUAUAAAUUUCUAUGCAUAAAUUUAAUUUUCCAAAUUAGCAUAAAAUAUUCGUAGUUAAAAUUCACGAAACAAAUUCUCCUACGCGUAAAUCCAAAAUUAAACCUGUUGAAAAUAAACAAACGGCCGGAUAUUAUACGUACAAUGGUACAUGAAAGGAAAGAGGGCAGCACCGGAGGGUCCAGUUGCGCGAGAUCUCUCGUGGCAGAUAUGGCGUUGGCCCCUAAACAUCCACCAUUAUAUUAAAUUGUGUAUAUUUCCCUUCAUAAUUACUCGAAUUAUGUAAAUCGGUAUGUUAAUACGCUGCAUCCACCCUCCUGAACCCCUUCCCCUCCCCGCUACGCGAAGCCUCUUCCUCUCGCGCAGUACCUCGACCGCCACGCCACCGUACGAUUACAGCAAUUUCGUUUAAGCGUGCGCUAAAUGUUACUUUAUGCGCUUUUUAUUCAACCGGCAUCCGGUCUCGCGGAUACGUGCACCGUCCCUCGGGUCCUCUUUUCUAGAUCGUGCUCCGUUUAACGCGCGCCUCUAUUUACAUAAUAUUUCGCGAGGAGAUACGUAUCGAACGUAUCGUGAGCGUGCUCGAAUCGGAGGCCGCGGAUCGUCGUUCAAAGUGCCGUGAGUGAUUAAAAGAAAAAAAUUGAUCGAUACUUCUUUUUCCUAAAUUCGAAAAUAUUGAGGAUAGUGCGUGUGUGUGUGUGUGUCGUGAAUUUUGGAAAAAAAAUGAUUCAUCGAUAUCGACAACAAGAACGCGAUCCUAACCUAUAAGCUUGAAAUUUAUACGACUAAGAUAAAUUGGUAGAAAGUGGAUUGGACGUAAUCGGACUGUGAAAGAAUUUUCACCGAAACGAAAAAUAUAUAAAGAAAAAAGAAAAAAUUCUUAAUUAAACGAGACAAAGACAAAUCGGUAGAAAGUAAAACACGACAACUACGAAAGAAUUUUUAUAGCGCAAAACCGUGGCCGUGCUCGUUUAUCUUACAUAGUUCCUCGUCCCAAUUAUCCGUCGCGUGAAAAAUUUAUUCUUUCCGCAUAUUUUACGUUAGUCGGCCGGUGUAGCCGCCCUAUUUACAUAAUUUUUCGCGAGAUCGAUAUCGGGGCAGAGAUUGCACCGCUUUAAUGAGGCACGGCAACGAAAUUAGGAAUCUAAAGCCAUUCACGCCGGGUCUGGCCACGCAACGUGAUCAACCAAGGCGAUCGACAGAUAAGUACGAUCUCUGUUAUUAGCGAUAGGAAUCGAUUCAUAAAGCAAAUCGACAACCACCGAAGGCGGUCGUACGAGGGCGCGCAACUCAAUUCACUCGGUCGUGUUUCGGGUUUAAGUUUAGCGCCCUCUUUCGCGUUAAUACUCUCGGUAAUGUCGUGUAAACAUGGUGUCGUACAACGUGUUUUUCGUGGAUUCGUCGUUUAAAAAGUUUUCAAGUCUGACAAGAUUUCGAAAAAUUAUGACAAGAUAUCGCGGUUAUGGUGAGGUUAUGGUGAGUAACGUUAUUACAACCGUUCGGUGAAAAUUUUAUGUACGAGGCCUUUUCCUUUUCCGCGACAACAUCGAAAAAAUUAUCGACACUACAACUAUCCGUAUAACCUAUAAGAACGAUGCAUAUAACAAAUGUUAAAUAAUAAGUAUUAUUGAAAAAAAUUACAGUAUGAUAGCUAAUUGGUUAUUGUAUGUAGCAGUAAUAUAUUUGCUUCUAAGUAUCUUUUAUAGUAUAGUAGUCAAAUUCUUAUUCUAUAUAGCAAUAAUAUACGUAAUCCUGUACAUCGCUUAUUUACUUUUUAUCGAUCACAGGUAAUCAAAAAGAUUUUUUACUUAAAUUAGCAAUUUAUCAAUAUAUUAUAAACGAAUUUACAUAGGAUAUUACCAUUUAUUUCCAGCGAAUAGAACAUCAUUAUUUCACGAAACUAUUACAUUUUUCAAAACUUUAUAAUCACGCUAUUCGUACGUAUUCGCAUAUUUUCUCAACGUCAAAAGUUUCGAGUCUAACGCCUCGACAGUCUUGCCAACGUCUAAACGCUGUUUGAAACAGGUCUUGGAGACUCGUCCAAUUGACACAUCGGAAGGCACGUUUCAAGUUCAUCGAAUCGGAAGAACGAUAUUAUUAACGACUCGAUCCUCGUUUUUUUUUUUUUUUUUCUCGUAGGAGAGCCGCGUACAGAUUACCAAGUAAUCCACGGCCUCAUUACCGACGCCAAUUAUCGAAUGGGACGAAUCGAUCGGUGGCAAACGAUCAUCCCCGCCGACUCUCAAUCAACUUUCCGAGGCUGGAAGGACGCUGAUCGACGGAGCAGCCGGAUGACGAUCGACUGCAAUUUCGAUGAUGAUACGGAAUUAUCCAUCUGAGGGGAGGGGGACAGCAACAACCGGGCCCCGAACGGCGAGGUACACACCCCACCCCACCGCCGAUACGUGUGUCGGGGCAUCGGUGUAUACGGGAACGCUCGGAGAGGCUUUAUUACACGUAGGACGGAGUGGAAGGACGAUCACGGAUCCGCGGGCGAACUUCGUUACGGACCUAUGUGAUUUUCCAUGCAAAUUGAGUUGUUCGCCUGUCAUUAUGCUAAUAAAAGUAAUGACGCGUCGCGUAUGUACCGAGUAAUGCAGCUGCUGUAAUGAACCACGGUGUAUAGUGUAUCGGCAUUGGAGGUCCUCGCCCCACCGUUUCGAGAAGCGUGACACCGCGACGUUUUCUACGCUUUUGUGGAACACAAAACACCUGGCUGAACCGAAGAAAAUAUUAAUAAAGAGAGUUAGACUCGAGCAACAACCAUGCCUUUGGUAAUCGGGUUAUUAUCGCAAUGUAAAUUAUGAAAGAAGAAAAUCCUAACCUCAAAUAUAAUUUUCUCUUUAUUUAUUCUCGAUUCUCGUGUUAUUUUUUAUUCCAUUAAUUAAAGACCGUGUGUAUUUCUAAUUGAAUAAUAAAAUAUUUCUAAUUAAAGUAAAUAAAUAAUUACGUGAAAUAUCAGGUUACGUAAACACGUUUAUAUAACGUUUCAAAUAACAACACACUAUUAAUUACAAUUUCAUUGUACACCAGCGAUUGUCUUUGUUGUAUACUUGCACAGUACACGUGCACAUGCCAUCUUAUCUAAUGAUAAAUCAUUUAUAGGGGAAGUGGAUAAAUGACAUCUGUCCGGUUAAUUAGUUCGAGAGAAUGUCGCGGCGCGGCGUAUGCGUGAGGAAAGAGAAUGAGAAGGGUAUGGAAGUUUGUUCUGGAAAUCUGAUCGAGAGAAACAUGUGCAUAUUUUUUUUUCUUUCCUUUCUUUCUUUCCUUUUAAUAACGGGUUACGAUCACAUCGAUACGGAAAGUGAUAUCGAGGGAUCGGAGGAAUUCUUCGAAAAAAUAAUAGGGUGAGA